UACGGAGGAUGCGAGCGUUAUCCGGAUUUAUUGGGUUUAAAGGGUGCGUAGGCGGCCUUUUAAGUCAGCGGUGAAAGUCUGUGGCUCAACCAUAGAAUUGCCGUUGAAACUGGCUGGCUUGAGUUGGGGAAAGGCAGGCGGAAUGCGCGGUGUAGCGGUGAAAUGCAUAGAUAUCACGCAGAACUCCGAUUGCGAAGGCAGCAUACCGGCGCUCAACUGACGCUCAUGCACGAAAGCGUGGGUAUCGAACAGG
Molecule: ribosomal RNA, 253 nt
Filed under: uncultured Parabacteroides sp.
Lineage: Bacteria; Pseudomonadati; Bacteroidota; Bacteroidia; Bacteroidales; Tannerellaceae
Description: partial 16S ribosomal RNA
Rfam family: Bacterial small subunit ribosomal RNA
Source: RNAcentral